GGCCUGCCGCAGCUCGGGCAGGGAGUCGUAGUACUCCCGGGCGUUGUACCUGUGGGGAGAUGGCAGCCUCGUGGGCACACGCUGGGGCCGUUUGUGCCUCAGGCCCACGACAGCCAGACACGUGGUUGCUAGAGGACGUACAGGUCACAUGCAGUCCUCCGAGAGAGGAUGCUCAAGCAGCCCCACCCCCGCCCCCAGUGCCAGGAUGUUGCAGAAGAAAAUGACAUGUGAAACCAAGCUGGAGAGACACCCUGCGACCAUUAGGGAGUCUGGGGAGAGGGAGGCGUGUGGCAGACAUGGGACAGGGCCGAAAGGGCCAGCGCUCACGGGCUGACAAGGUUCCGACUGUUUGGGUUCAGCAGCUGGUGCCUGAGGCCUCAACAACUCCCCUGAGGGAUUUUAGGCAACUAGGCAACUUCAGUUGCACAGAAUUAGGCCGGGCUGGGACCCCUCACAGUAUCCAAGGGUGUGAAAAACAAGCAGAGGAGAUCUGAGGUCUUGAGAGGGACACACACCCUUUCCGAUCCAGGGCUUCCACGUCCUCCACCCGCAAGCCAAAGAUGAAGAGGUUCUCGGCCCCAGCUUCCUCAGCCAUCUCCACGUUGGCUCCGUCCAUGGUGCCGAUGGUGAGGGCCCCAUUGAGCAUGAACUUCAUGUUGCCUGUGCCCGAGGCCUCGGUGCCCGCGGUGGAGAUCUGCUGUGACAGGUCGGCGGCGGGGAUCACUGCAAGGCGGCGAGAGCAAGACCCGUCAGCCAUGAACCGCUCAACACGAGAGCAAUGGGAACAGCACAGCAACACCAUGCACUGACCACACCACCUGUACGGCUCCCUUUUUUGACCCAGGGCACCCUGAGGCAGAGGAUCCACAGUGGAAACGCCUGAGAAGCCCUGCAGGUGGCAAAGGACCUUUGUUCUGGAACCUUCCGCGGACCAGGGCCAAAUCAAAGCCUGGUGUUGUCAUCAUUCCCUUGUAUCCUGACAUCACUGCUGUCUUAUUCGAUCAGCCCCGCAGACUCCUUAAAUGGCUUAAAGAGGAAUCCGACUCACAGCACCAAAGGACUGGGGACAGCGGGGGGACAAUCUUCUUGUGGCCACACGCACCGAAGUCACUCUGUGCCGUUUACAGACUGGCAUUGUGGCCAAGACACAACCCCAUCCAUGGCCCUGCAGCUUCUCCCAAGUGUGGGUUCCCUGCGUGAGUUUCUCCAUGUGGCAGCAGGAACGCAGCCUCCGUCCUGCCUGCCUUGGCAUCCCUGCUCCCACGUCCUCAGCUCGUUCUCAGAGCUAAUGCUGCUUCCCUAACCCAGCUGAAGGGCACUCGGGGUCAGCCAAGACCAGAGCCCAGCCCCUUCUUCAAGGUCAAGUCCAGGUGCCAGGAUAGAGACACAGGCACCCCCGGCCCCUCAGGCAGAGGGACAUGGGCAGACGGGAUGGUGGACACGUUACCACAGCCAGUCCAAGAGCUGGGGGAGGGUGUGGGGCCCAACUCCAGGCUGGCUGUCCCCAAGGUCAGUUCUAAGGAAGCGCAGGAACUGGCCUGGGAGUGCCAGGCAGCGGCCGUAAGUUGCUUUAGAAGCUCAGUGAAACACUAACCCCGACCCAACCCCCGAGCCACACAUUGUCCAUGGCAGUGGCGGGACCACAGGGAUGGUCCUGAUCUGCCUGCAACGGAGGAGGAGGGAGUGCGUGAGCCUGCCCUUCACUCAACGCCUGGAGGGCAGCGCACAGUCUCAUGGAUCAGAGGGGCUGCUACUCGGGCCACAAGUCCAGGCUCAGGUUUCCCAGCACUUCCUGCCAGGUCUCCGGAAGUGGCUGGCUUAGAAGGGCCUGUCCAGCUCAGGACAGCUAUGCUCCGAGGCACAUCUGGCCACAGGCCCUUCUCCAGAUGGCAACACACACCCAGUACCCCCAAAGUGGAGUGGCCCCAGGCUAAACCCUCCCGGAGCAGGUGCAGGACGCCAGGCCAGAGUGGACAGGUGGGGAUGAGCAGAAGCACCCUCUGGGGGACGGGGAGGGCCAGCAAGAGGGAGCCCCGGGGCAGAGGAGCGAGGAGGGGGAGCAGUGGGAAGUUCAGAGACCAAGGAUGUGUGAGACCGAGGACGACCCACACACUCGGUGGCAGCAGGGCUCCCCCAGAGCCAGGCCAGGGGGUGGGGGGCCCUCUGGCUGGGCAGCCUGGUGUUGGGGCUGUUAAUCCGUGUGAAAGCAAGACAGGCCCUGACCAUAGAGGACCACUGGCUGCGCCCAGGUAGGGCAGGCUCACCUUUCUCGGCCAAGGACACUCUGUAGUUCUCUAGGAAGAUCACUUUGAGCCUGUCGCCCACAACCGGAUCGUGGUUGACGACGUCGCCGAUGGACGUGACCAGCUUGAUGAUCAUCUUGGCCAUGUGGUAGCCGGGCGCCGCCUGGAAAGGGGGAGGGGCGCUCAGCAGACACCCUGUGCUCAGGGGCACGGCAGGGUCGCCGGAGCCCGGGCUGCACACGCCCAGCCGAGUGGCUCUGCCAGCGGGGGGGUCCCACGGCAGGGGAGGGGUGGGCUGAGGCCACGGCAUCCCUGCGUGUCCUGCCCUCAACCUGGCAGACGGACCCACAGAGCGCGGCGCCCCACCCGCUUCCUCGGCUUCAACCGAGCGCCUCUCAUGACGGCACCUCACCCACGUGCACAAAUCUGUCAACCUCAAGCUUGGUUUUCUGAUUCUAGUUGGUUUUUUCAAAAAUGGAGAGAGGGAACAAGGACCUCUGAGAACUGACUACCGACUUAUAGGAAACGCAGGGAACCAAGGAAAGUACUAGGAGAUACCAGAGGGACGUGGUUUGGGGAAGACACACAACCCGAUUUCUGUAACAAAUUGCAGGGGAAAAAAAGAGGGGGACGUGGAGAAAAACCUACAGAUGAAGAGAUUUAAGAGACACAGCCGCCCGUCACCAUGUGAGAACCUUGCUGGGUCCUGAUUCAAACAAGCUCAAGGUAUUUGUAGCUGUCACAAGACCGCUGCGUGUGGCCCUGGCUGGAUAUUUAAUGAUGUGGAGGAAUUCUUGUCAAGUGUUUUAGGUGUGAUGGUGGCGCUGUGUGGUUUUGCAGGAAAACAUCACUGUGAAGACAACUGAUUAAGUUCUUAGGGCUGAAGUGUUAUAAUGUCUGUAAUCCAUCUACUAUGAAAUGGUUCAGCAAAAGUCUGGGGGACAGGUUUGUGGAUGUUCUACACUUCUUUUUUUCUUUUUAAAAAUGUUAAUUUUUAAAAAAUUAACAUUUUUUAACUUUUUGAAAGUCCACAUCUCUAAAAUGCAUACAGAAAUACUGACAAAACAGCAUGCUGGGGUGGGGUGGUGGUGGAAUGAAUUGGGAGAUUGGGAUUGACAUAUAUACACUAAUAUGUAUGAAACAGAUAAAAAAAAAAGAAAAGAAAAAGAACCCCAGCAUGCUGUCCGGAGUCUGCUUUAGAAACAUCAGGAGUCAGGGGGCCGGGGGACGGUGGCAGAGACAGAACAAGACGGGCCUGCCUGUGAGGUGCCUCCACCUUCAUAUGUGCUCAAGUGAGAGGCGAGGACAGUCCUGGGCCCACCUGCAGCCCCCGUGAAGCAGCUGUGCCCAGGCUUCUGGGAAAAGUGGCAGAGGGUGGGGACGCGGGCCCUAGAGCGCGGAGCCGGGUGAUGGGACCCACUGAUGCCUGCCGGCGAUACGCUGGGACUCUUGAGAUCCCACGUCCAAAAGCACAUGUAAAUAAAACGAAUAAGGCCGGGCUGAGCCGAGAGCAGGCGCACGUCUGGCUGACGAAGCAGCCAGCGACUCACGCCUACUUGGCGCACCAGUGCAGGGGAGGCGUGGAAAUCCGGCAGUUACAAGAGAAAUGGCGCUGCCCCAUGAGAGCCCAGUAGAGACUGGCCCUUGGGGCUGGGGACCCCACUCCCCUGGGCCGGGCAGGCAGGGGCCCCAUCCAGCUCCCUCCUGUGGCUGAGCUGAUGGAGCCUGAGCUGGCCCAGAGGCACACCUGGGGCCAGGACCUCUGGGCUGUGUGUGCAGGUUGGCGCCCGGCCACCCACAGCAUCCAGCCCCGAUGCAGAGACGCUGCUGAAAAGCACGGUGGUUUGUGCAUCCCCGACCAACGCCAAGCAGGAACCAAGAAGACGUCCCCUCACCUUGCCCCCGAUCAUGACGGUCCUGGGCACAAAGGUCUGGGCUGGGUCCUUCUUUAUUCCUGCAGGACAAACAAAAAGAGAGCCACGUGAAGCCCCUGGAGCCAGACAUGCCUGAGCCCUGGGACAGGCCUCAGUGACAGUGUCUUCAGAGGCCAGCCCGACACAGGUGCUGCACUGCCAGGAGCUCCCGCUUACAGAAUUCUACACUUGGUCCAGGUUGGUUUGGAAGGCCAGCCAGGAGCAGACUCUUCCAGAAAGUUCAGUGGAAAAGCUGUGCCUUUGUGUCCAGAACAGCCCAACACAGGAGCUUCUCUGGGUCUGGUCACCAGGACUGAAGGCCCUUGCAUGUGAUGGGUACUCAAAAAUGGGGUGACCUUGGGAUGGUGAUGAUUCACCGUCAGCCUGCGGGAGGUGUCAGUGAGACCCCAAGCCCCCUCCGUCACUGGGACAGAGGCUAAGAAGCCCCCCAGACCUUUUCUGUACAGGAGCAGACAGCUCACCUCCAGCCCCAGCAGAAUGAGAUGUCCUCACCAGGCCACUGGUUUCCAGAUUUCAGCUGGGGGGUGGGGGCAGGGAGUGUCUACAGAAGUGACAGGCUGCCCUAGACGGCUUUCACCAGAGGCAGGAAUUGGCCGCAAGGUUUACAGGAGCCACUAAAGGGUCGCGGCUGAUCUGUAACCUCUGUCUUCAGGUUCUAGUAGGAAUAUGACCGUCCCUUAGUUCUGAAUCUUCCCGCUUCCAGAUUGUGGACAGAGUAACAAAGAGAACAGGAAAAAAAUAAAGCCAAAACCCCACAAACUACAUUUUUACUAAAACUAGUAAAGAAGAAAAAUACGCUAACUCCAGAUCAUUGGGCAAGUCCUCCUGGGUCAUGGGAUGGGUGGGAGACAGGGCUGUGAACUCAGGGUCUCAGGAACCCCAGCCUCCCGGGGGCUGUGAGCGGGGGAAGCGGAGGCAGGAAAGAGCCCCAGGGGGCCGGGCGGGCAGACCCUGUCGGCACCCCUCCUACAGAGAAACCUUGGAAAGGGGGUCUGGACAUCCUUGUGGACAGAGGCCCACAGGGCCAUGACGCCUCCUGAGCCAGCCUUGACUUGGAGCCCCAGAGAGGCAUCACAAGCUGGGGAGGCCUGCGGCUGCCUUGAGCUCACGAGGCCCCGGCCAGCUCCUCAGACACGAGUGACCAACCCGAACACACAGCU
This is a long non-coding RNA of Aethalodelphis obliquidens (Pacific white-sided dolphin), 5337 nucleotides long. RefSeq lists it as uncharacterized. The transcript has 2 exons. The record is from RefSeq and is a predicted model, not a curated record. NCBI's taxonomy places the organism in Eukaryota, Metazoa, Chordata, Mammalia, Artiodactyla, Delphinidae.